Molecule: ribosomal RNA, 80 nt
Rfam family: Bacterial small subunit ribosomal RNA
UUUAUUGGAGAGUUUGAUCUUGGCUCAGGACGAACGCUGGCGGCGUGCCUAAUACAUGCAAGUCGAGCGCGGGAAGCAGG